UUCGGUGGUCAUUGCGUUGGGGAAACGCCCGGUUCCAUUCCGAACCCGGAAGCUAAGCUCAACUGCGCCGAUGGUACUGCACUCGGGAGGGUGUGGGAGAGUAGGACACCGCCGAAC
Molecule: ribosomal RNA, 117 nt
Filed under: Dermabacter vaginalis
Lineage: Bacteria; Bacillati; Actinomycetota; Actinomycetes; Micrococcales; Dermabacteraceae
Also listed under: 1 other name
Source: RNAcentral